AUUGAACGCUGGCGGCAUGCCUUACACAUGCAAGUCGAACGGUAACGGGUGCUUCGGGAUGCCGACGAGUGGCGAACGGGUGAGGAAUAUAUCGGAACGUGCCCAGUAGCGGGGGAUAACUGCUCGAAAGAGGGGCUAAUACCGCAUACGCCCUGAGGGGGAAAGGGGGGGAUCGCAAGACCUCUCGCUAUUGGAGCGGCCGAUAUCAGAUUAGCUAGUUGGGGGGGUAAAGGCCUACCAAGGCAACGAUCUGUAGUUGGUCUGAGAGGACGACCAGCCACACUGGGACUGAGACACGGCCCAGACUCCUACGGGAGGCAGCAGUGGGGAAUUUUGGACAAUGGGCGCAAGCCUGAUCCAGCAAUGCCGCGUGCAGGAAGAAGGCCUUCGGGUUGUAAACUGCUUUUGGCAGGGAAGAAAUCUUUUGGGCUAAUACGCCGGGAGGAUGACGGUACCUGAAGAAUAAGCACCGGCUAACUACGUGCCAGCCGCCGCGGUAA
Molecule: ribosomal RNA, 500 nt
Filed under: uncultured bacterium
Lineage: Bacteria
Description: partial 16S ribosomal RNA
Rfam family: Bacterial small subunit ribosomal RNA
Source: RNAcentral